This is a long non-coding RNA of Ictalurus punctatus (channel catfish), 1040 nucleotides long. The record is from Ensembl. Lineage: Eukaryota; Metazoa; Chordata; Actinopteri; Siluriformes; Ictaluridae.
GAACUACUUUCAGAAGUGCUUUUUAGAAACCUAAUCAACAAAAAUGUUUUAAAGCUGCAUGCUGAAAUAAACUGAAAUAGAAUUAAACUGAAAGCCUGACUAUUCUUUUCUUCGUGGUUGAUGGUAUUUGGAUGGGGCUUGCUACCUUCCUACCUGCAAUGCUACAGCUGUGAGAGUGGCUCAGCACAUAAACCUGUGAUUUCAGCCCUUGUGUAUCCUUUACCCACAGCAGAUUGGUGACUUCUAUUUUUCAUGGCUGAUUCAUGGCAGAUGUUCAAGGGAGAAAAUGAUGGACCACACACACAGAAUAACCGCAUGUGCUACAGUUGGGCUUUAGUGUGCACUUUAUGUAACAGGACAGCUUAAGCAUGUGUUUCAUGUAGCACAGAUUCUUGUGGGAAUGUGAUUCUUUCACAUGCUACGUCUAUGAAAGAGGGUGGUAUGAGUGUACUUUUUGCAUUGGUGACAAUAUUGUUGUUACCAAUGGAAUAUAUUAAAACUUUACUUUUGAAAGUUCUUGGAACAGUACACGUAGUCUAAAAGCAGUUUUACAGAGAUCAGUGCCUUAACCUAUGGUUAAUCCUGGGGAAACUGGGAUGGUUCUAUAGUAUGGACAUUGGAGAAGGUCAAUCAAGGAGGGAGCACGGUGGUCUAAACAUUGUUUAGAGUGAACAGAUAACAAAUAUGAAACCCACUCCACCCCACUCCACCCCCAGUGUUUCCAGGGGAAAAGUGGUAGGGUAGGGCAGUGGUAGAGGAAAGAAAGAAUCAAUGAAAUGCAUUCCAGUUUAGACCACACCCAUGAGAUUAAAUUCAAAUAUAAAGAGACAGACAUUUGAAGCAGGCAGAUAUAGGUACAGAUACAGAUACAGAUUCAUACUUAGGUACAGAUACAGGUACACAUAAGAUGGAGGUACAGAUGCAGGUACAGAUACAUAUCCAGAUACAAAUAAAGGUACAGAUACAUAUACAGAUAAAUACAGGUACAGAUACAGAUGCAAAUACAGGUACAGAUUCAUAUAUAAAUACAAUACAGAUAC